ACACACCUGGAGACAAUGUGGAGCUGCCAAUUAACCCACGCCGGAGCAGGGAGCGCAUGCAAACUCCGCACAGAAGGGCUUAGACCCGACUUCAAACCUGGAACCCUCUGUGAGGCGACAGCGCUAACCACCGCAUCACCCUGCCCUCCUUAAAGGUAUGCAAAGUAAAGAUGGGCUGAUGGAGCGGACCACAGAAGGGGUUUUUCUCAUUUGACGGCAUUGAACUAAAGUGACAGCCAAUAAGGAGCUAAUCUACUUCAUGAAAAUGUAAUUACGUGAUGAAUGGUGCAAUGUAUAGACUCUGGCAAAAUAAUAUAGCACUCCCACCUGUGAAAAUACUAGCUGAAAUAAUUGUUUAUGUUGGGGUGGGGGUCGAGAGGGCUACUUUAUUUAUAUAAUGCAGGCAGGGUUGUGUUGGUAUUUUAAGUAGGAUAUCCAUAAACAUCUGCCCUUAAACACACACACACUAGAGGGUACUGCUGCAUAUAAUGUGUGUAUUCUGCAAAGAUACGGUUUCUACUGCACAUUUUAAGAGUGAAAAAGGAUGUUUUCCAGUGUGUUACGUUAAAAAAAACAAACAGUGCCAAGCUUGAUAAUAAAGUUGCAGACUUCA
This is a long non-coding RNA of Scatophagus argus, 613 nucleotides long. RefSeq lists it as uncharacterized. The record is from RefSeq and is a predicted model, not a curated record. NCBI's taxonomy places the organism in Eukaryota, Metazoa, Chordata, Actinopteri, Scatophagidae. The transcript is spliced from 2 exons.